This 497-nucleotide ribosomal RNA is filed under the name uncultured bacterium. Its description in RNAcentral is "partial 16S ribosomal RNA". It matches the Rfam family "Bacterial small subunit ribosomal RNA", at positions 28 to 507 of the family's 1533-position model. The record is from RNAcentral.
GAUGAACGCUGGCGGCGUGCCUAAUACAUGCAAGUCGAGCGAACAGAUAAGGAGCUUGCUCCUUUGACGUUAGCGGCGGACGGGUGAGUAACACGUGGGUAACCUACCUAUAAGACUGGGAUAACUUCGGGAAACCGGAGCUAAUACCGGAUAACAUUUGGAACCGCAUGGUUCUAAAGUGAAAGAUGGUUUUGCUAUCACUUAUAGAUGGACCCGCGCCGUAUUAGCUAGUUGGUAAGGUAACGGCUUACCAAGGCAACGAUACGUAGCCGACCUGAGAGGGUGAUCGGCCACACUGGAACUGAGACACGGUCCAGACUCCUACGGGAGGCAGCAGUAGGGAAUCUUCCGCAAUGGGCGAAAGUCUGACGGAGCAACGCCGCGUGAGUGAUGAAGGGUUUCGGCUCGUAAAACUCUGUUAUUAGGGAAGAACAAAUGUGUAAGUAACUGUGCACGUCUUGACGGUACCUAAUCAGAAAGCCACGGCUAACUACGUG